AACGAACGCUGGCGGCAUGCCUAACACAUGCAAGUCGAACGAGACCUUCGGGUCUAGUGGCGCACGGGUGCGUAACGCGUGGGAACCUGCCCUUAGGUUCGGAAUAACUCCCCGAAAGGGGUGCUAAAACGGGAUAUUGUCUUGGGACCAAAGAUUUAUCGCCUUUGGAUGGGCCCGCGUUGGAUUAGCUAGUUGGUAGGGUAAAAGCCUACCAAGGCGACGAUCCAUAGCUGGUCUGAGAGGAUGAUCAGCCACACUGGGACUGAGACACGGCCCAGACUCCUACGGGAGGCAGCAGUGGGGAAUAUUGGACAAUGGGCGAAAGCCUGAUCCAGCAAUGCCGCGUGAGUGAUGAAGGCCUUAGGGUUGUAAAGCUCUUUUACCCGGGAUGAUAAUGACAGUACCGGGAGAAUAAGCUCCGGCUAACUCCGUG
Molecule: ribosomal RNA, 433 nt
Filed under: uncultured bacterium
Lineage: Bacteria
Description: partial 16S ribosomal RNA
Rfam family: Bacterial small subunit ribosomal RNA
Source: RNAcentral